This 91-nucleotide transfer RNA is filed under the name Sebdenia flabellata. Its description in RNAcentral is "tRNA-Ser". It matches the Rfam family "tRNA". Rfam says of the family: Transfer RNA (tRNA) molecules are approximately 80 nucleotides in length. Lineage: Eukaryota; Rhodophyta; Florideophyceae; Sebdeniales; Sebdeniaceae. The record is from RNAcentral.
AGGAGAGGUGGCUGAGUGGUCUAAAGCGGCAGAUUGCUAAUCUGUUGUAUGAUUUCUUUCAUACCGAGGGUUCGAAUCCCUUCUUCUCCUA